This is a long non-coding RNA of Stegodyphus dumicola, 330 nucleotides long. NCBI's taxonomy places the organism in Eukaryota, Metazoa, Arthropoda, Arachnida, Araneae, Eresidae. The record is from RefSeq and is a predicted model, not a curated record.
AAGAGACGCUUCUGAGCUCGGUUAAAGAGUUAUUUCUCUCUCCUGUUUCAGCCCAUGCAUGCGUUUCUGGGAAUCUUCUGAGCAGUGGCAGCGGGGGAAUUGUGAAAGAGCGAACGAGAGAAACGGCAAACGAAACCCGGCAGUCAAAGCGGGAGGCGACCAUGCUGCGAACGGUGCUACUCGGUUUCCUUCUCGUCCUGCCACUGAAAACUCACGGCUCUUUCUUCACUGUUGAGAGGACGUGAUGUUGGCUUUUACAUUGCUUCCUACAAUUUUCCUAAGCUGUAAGAACUUUGGUGUUUGGUGUUGUUACAGAUAUGGAAACUUAAA